Molecule: long non-coding RNA, 2711 nt
Filed under: Sus scrofa (pig)
Lineage: Eukaryota; Metazoa; Chordata; Mammalia; Artiodactyla; Suidae
Description: lncRNA (ENSSSCG00060002756.1)
Source: RNAcentral
CACCACAGCCACAGCAACGCCGGGCCUGCGACCGACACCACAGCUCAGGGCAACGCCAGAUCCUUAACCCGCUGAGCGAGGCCAGGGAUUGGUCAGAUUGGUUUCCCCUGAGCCAUGAGAGGAACUCCGAGGACUGCAUUAUCAUUAUAUUUUAAUUUUUAAAAAAUUUACUGGUGAUGUUUAAGAAUAGGGGGCUGGGAGUUCCGUUGUGGCUCAGCAGUAACGAACCCAAAUAGCAUCCUCGAGGACACAGGUUCGAUCCCUGGGUCUGGCAUUGCUGUGAACUGUGGUGUAGGUCAAAGACUCCACUUGGAUCUGGCGUUGCAUCCUCUUGGUUGCUAGCAGGGUUUGCUACCCACUGAGCCACCGUGGGAACGCCUUCCCUUGCCUUUUAAACUGCUUUGGAGUUUUGUUGUUCUUGUUGUUACUGUGGAAACGGAGACAUGACACGUUGGUGAUACGGACUGAAGUAAAGAGAAUUCUAGAAGGAGGUUUCAUUGACUCCAGCUACGAGUCAAGCUGACUUUACUCUCUGCUGAGCCUGCAGUCCUCAGAAGCCCCCCUGUUCUCCACUGUCUUUGCUUCUGUCACCCCUGCUGCUUCAGGCUUUCCCUUAAAUUGUCCUCUUAAAUAGAGGCUGAGCCCUGCAGCUCUUUCGUUGUAACCCAUUGUUACUGUGUUACUUUAGAGCCCCGGGAUGUGGCUGCCUAGUGUGGGAGAGAGGAAGCAUUCUGCCAUCCUUUAAAGCCCCGGCUUUGACUGCUUUUGCGCUGCAGGGAGCUGACACUCAGAGGUUGUCCUCCAGUCUAGCUCCUCUUAGAGAGGCCCUGAAGUCACGCUGUCUCGCUCCACCCCGACACCCCCCACCCCCUAGCCGGUUGGGGUGCAAUCCCUCCCUUGCUGAGCAGGCUCUGGGGGAAGUCUCAGGAUGGCUGCUUGUCCCCUCUUCCUUCCAGAAACAGGAGCUUUUGGUUUUGCUUGGCUCUCCCUAAUGAGAACCUGGUGCGGUGCUUGGAGGUAAAACCCAUGGCAGCCUGGCCCAUCCAGGGCUGCAGCCCCCAGGAAUGCCUUCCUCCCUCCACCUCCAGAAAUUGUUCCAAUGACCAGUUUAUGGCCUAGAGGAGCUGAUAUUGACUAUGAGUCUGUGUUCAACUAUAAUCCAGUUUCAGGGUAAGUUUGUACAUCUGUGUGUGUGUGUGCGCGCGCGCGCGUGUGUGUGUGUGCGUGUUAAGCACAUGAGUGACCAUUUCCAAGCUCUUUCUAUGUUGGAAUUGAAAACAUCUCAAACAUUUUUAUGGUACCAUUUUGUCAUCUUCAAGGACUUCUGGCUAUAAGGCGCUGUGGUGUCAUUGUACUGUUUUUAUGGUAGUCGUAGGGUUUCUGGUAUACGUCUCCAGGUCACCAUAGUUUCAAGAGUUGUUGUACUAUUUCACGUGGAAACUUCCAAUGCUGUAUAAAGCUAUCAAGGACCGCGUAGACACUGCUCGAGACAGACGUGGGAGGAGGCAGGAUCCUACCUCUGCCCCAGCUGAUGCCCAGUCAGGAAAAUAUGGAUUUUUUUUGGCUUUGGAUUAAUCCCAAAUGCCCACAUUUAUGAUGUUCUGUAUAGUCUGCCUGUUUGAACAUUGAGACAGUUAUGUCUUGCAGUGAUGAAAAACUAGAUACGGUUGACAAAUGCUCAAAAAAAAAAAAAAAAAAGCAAAAAACCUCACAAGGGUGUGUAUCCCAGCCUCAGUGCUAGUAUUGUAGAUUUUAUUUCUACAUGUGUGAUAAACCACACAGUAACUUCUUACUGUUGGUGCUUUAAACAGUCCGUUAUCUUUCAAAGGGAAUAAAAUAAUACAGGAAAUAGCCUUACAUUCGCUCGUAUCUCAUCUUUUCCAGGGCAUUUUUUUACUGUGAAGGCCCACCUUCCGUUUGCAGGAAGGACUUCCUUUCUCACAGUGUCUGCUCACUGUGGGCUUCUGCUCUGAUAAAUUGAGAACUUUCUCUCCUUUGUUUCUGAGAGAGAUUUUCACAGGAUAAAUUAAAGCAUUCUGUGCUCACAGAUGUGUUUUGUCUUUUAAUGUCUUAAAAAUCUUUAAAAAAAAAUUUUUUUUUUUUAAUUUCGUGGCCACACCUAUGGCAUAUGGAACUUUCCAGGCCAGGGAUUGAAUCCGAGCUGCAGCCUUGGCCUCCGCCACAGCUGUGGUAACAACUGGAUCCUUUCAUCCACUGCACGGGGCCAGGGAUGGAACGCUCGCCUCUGAAGCAACCCAAGCCUCUGCAGGAGGAUUCUUAACCCGCUGGGCCCUAGCGGGAACUCCUAAAAAAUCCUUUCUCAUAGACAGCUGGCCUGCAUGUUUCCUGAUGAGAAAUCACUCUCGUGACCUUUAUUGCCAUCACGGCAAAAAAUGAGUUAUCUUCAGCUUCGUUCCUCUGUAUCUAAAAUAUCUUUUUUUAACAAAAGAACUUAUUUAUAAAAACCAAAACAAAUUCACAGAUUUUGAAGUUCAACUUAUGACGACCAAAGGGUAAAUCUUGGGAGCAGGGAUAAAUUAGGAAGAUGGGAUUAACAGAUACAAACUAUUGUAUGUAAAAUAAACAACAAGGUCCGACUGUAUAGCCCAGGGAAAUCUCACUAUUCCAUAAGAACCUAUAGGAAAAAAGAAGGGAUACCUGUACGCAUAAAACUGAUUUAUUUUGCAGGGCACCUGAAACUAACUGUAGGU